UGAAGUACGAGGAAAAAAUUAAGUCCUUGAGAGGUAGAGAAGUUGAAAUGUGAAAAAUUGCAGUUUGAAAUGUGAAAAAUUGCAGUUUGAAAACUGCAAUUUUUCACAUUUCAACUUCUCUACCUCAUCAUUCAAGAACUUAAUUUUUUCCUCGUGUUU
RNAcentral lists this microRNA precursor (159 nucleotides) under Olea europaea subsp. europaea. Lineage: Eukaryota; Viridiplantae; Streptophyta; Magnoliopsida; Lamiales; Oleaceae. The record is from RNAcentral.